CCUACGGGAGGCAGCAGUUAGGAAUAUUGGUCAAUGGGCUUACGCCUGAACCAGCCAAGUCGCGUGAGGGAAGACUGCCCUAUGGGUUGUAAACCUCUUUUGUCAGGGAGCAACGCCGGCUACGUGUAGCCGGACUGAGGGUACCUGAAGAAAAAGCAUCGGCUAACUCCUUGCCAGCAGCCGCGUUAAUACGGAGGAUGCGAGCGUUGUCCGGAAUUACUGGGCGUAAAGGGCGCGUAGGUGGGCGCUUAAGUCAGGUGUGAAAACUCCGGGACCAACCUGGAGACUGCAGUUGAAACUGGGUGUCUUGAGGGCAGGAGAGGAAAGUGGAAUUCGUGGUGUAGCGGUGAAAUGCGUAGAUAUUAGGAGGAACACCGGUGGCGAAGGCGACUUUCUGGACUGUACCUGACGCUGAGGCGCGAAAGCGUGGGUAGCGAACGGGAUUAGAUACCCUAGUAGUC
Molecule: ribosomal RNA, 461 nt
Filed under: uncultured bacterium
Lineage: Bacteria
Description: partial 16S ribosomal RNA
Rfam family: Bacterial small subunit ribosomal RNA
Source: RNAcentral